This 72-nucleotide transfer RNA is filed under the name Bos taurus (domestic cattle). It matches the Rfam family "tRNA". From Rfam's summary of the family: Transfer RNA (tRNA) molecules are approximately 80 nucleotides in length. Lineage: Eukaryota; Metazoa; Chordata; Mammalia; Artiodactyla; Bovidae. RNAcentral also lists the same sequence under 3 other names. The record is from Rfam by way of RNAcentral.
UCCUCGGUGGCUCACGUGGUAGAGAAUCUGCCUGCAGUGCAGGAGACCCAGGUUCAAUCCCUGGGUUGGGAA